UACAGAGGGUGCAAGCGUUAAUCGGAAUUACUGGGCGUAAAGCGUGCGUAGUCGGUUAUUUAAGUCGGGCGUGAAAGCCCCGGGCUCAACCUGGGAAUUGCGUUCGAUACUGGAUAGCUAGAGUUCGGCAGAGGGAAGCGGAAUUUCGGGUGUAGCGGUGAAAUGCGUAGAUAUCCGAAGGAACAUCAGUGGCGAAAGCGGCUUCCUGGACCAGAACUGACGAUCAGGCACGAAAGCGUGGGGAGCAAACAGG
Molecule: ribosomal RNA, 253 nt
Filed under: uncultured bacterium
Lineage: Bacteria
Description: partial 16S ribosomal RNA
Rfam family: Bacterial small subunit ribosomal RNA
Source: RNAcentral